This 1963-nucleotide long non-coding RNA is filed under the name Capra hircus (goat). RNAcentral's name for it is "lncRNA (ENSCHIG00000001544.1)". The record is from RNAcentral. Lineage: Eukaryota; Metazoa; Chordata; Mammalia; Artiodactyla; Bovidae.
CAGAGGGUAAAUCAGAAGAAUGUGUUGAACACUGCUAAGAGGUCACGUUAGACAGGUCAGAGGAAGGGCCACUGGGUUUUGCACCAUGGAGAUUGUAGGUAAUCAUGAACAGAGUCAUUCAGUAGAGGAAUGAAUUCAAGGGCAAGAUUGGAACAGGUUAAAGAAUGACUAGAAGGUAAGAAAUGGGGGCUGAGUAGAGACAAUUAUCUCAAGCAGUUUUGCGACUAGAAAAAAAAAAGAUAAAGCAACAAUAGAGGAUAUGUGACUACAAGAGAAGUUGUGGGAUUUUUGUUUGCUUGCUUGCUUUAUAAAUGAAAGAUACCAGAAUACAUUUCUCUGCUGUAGGAAGACCUUGAAUUCCAUGUUGAGAGGUUGAGAUUUUAUUUUGGAAACAUUGCAAGUUUUUAAGCUGGAAAAUGACAUGAUGAAGUCAGUGUUUUAGGAAGAUUCAUCUGAAAAGAGCUGCCCAUAAAUUGUAUAAAAUUGGAAAAGUAUACAUAGCCAUGAAAAGUGCUGGAUGUCACCCAAAGGGAGCCGACUAAUGCAACAGAAAACGGCCUUAAAGAGGCUCCCGAAUGAGGUGAAUUCUUCACCCAACCUACAAACUCGAAAGAAGCCGAUAUCCCACUUAACUCUGAGCAAGCUACUUAACACAGGUAAACACACACACACAAUGGAAUAUUAUGCAGCCAUAAGAGGAGAACACUGCCAUUGGCAACAACACGGAUGGAACCUGAGGACAUUGUGCUGUGUAAUAUGUCACACAGAGAAAGACAAAUACCUACGUCUUCACUUAUAUAUGGAAUCUAAAAAAAUCCAAACUCCUAGAAAUAGAAACCAGAAUGAUGGUUUCCAGAAGCUGGCAGUUGGGGGAGAUAGAUGUUGGUCAAAAGGUACAAACUUCUAAUUAUGAGUAAGUUCUGGAGAUUUAAUGUACAGCAUGGUGAUGACAGUUAACAAUCUUACAUUAUUUACUUGAAGGUUAUAUACUAAGAGAAUAGAUCUUAAAUGUUCUCACCACACACACACCCACACACAAUGGUAGUUAAGAGGCUUGAGAAAGGUAUUAGCUAAUGCUAUGCUGGUAAUCAUUUUAAGAUAUAUGACUGUAUCAAAUCAACACUUUUUACACCUUCAAUUUAUGCAAUAGUACAUGCCAAUUAUAUCUCAACAAACCUGGGGAGGGGGAUAAGUGUAGCUCUCAAACACAUUAAUUUAUAUAGUUAUGCCUCUAAGAAACUGAGCAUUUCUGAAACUUGGCUUAAACUGAUGGCCCAAUGGGAUAGAAAGAGCAGCUGUCGAUGCCCUUCAUUCAGAUCAUUCUUACACAGAAGCAAGUUCAGACCAAGCUCAUACUGCUACUGAGAGAUCCUUUUCACCCUGCACAAAAUUCUGAUCAUUCUGGGUAGGUACAAUUAUGUAAAUCUAGCACAUCUGAAGUAUGCUAGGGGAGUGUGAAUUUUAAAUAAUCUUAUUGUGAAUCUUUCUGUAAAGCAAAUUAUUAACUCUUAAUUUUCUUGUUUUGUAAAAUCAGAUUUUGAUAUGUGACAUGUUAACAGUUGGAUAAAUCUAUAAGUCUGCUUCAUAAAGUGUGUAAUCUUCUGCAACUGCAGGCAUCAACAUUCAUGGUUCCAUGAGAUAUGCAACCUCAUGCGUUGGAUUAAGCAAAUGCCGUUCUGCAUGCCUAAUUAAGGGCAGAGAUGGUGGCCUGCUCUUUCCCUUCUUCAGCCCCAUUCCAUCUAGAGACUCUCGAUCGCCUGAGGAAAUUAUACAGACAUCCCUGUUUCUGUGCCUUGUGUACUCGAAAUCAAGCCCUAUAACCGAAUUAGCUUCACUCUGCUCAGAACUCUGCAUCUUCUGGCUUUUUAAAAACUGGCUCCCUUACUAGUCUCAAGUUUGUAUUUUCAAUUAUUAAAGAAGAGACAUUCCUUAUCAAAACCGCAGCUCCUCUCAUUAAAAAAAG